AAUGAACGCUGGCGGCGUGGAUUAGGCAUGCAAGUCGAACGCGAAAGUAACCUUCGGGUUGCGAGUAGAGUGGCGAAAGGGUGAGUAAUGCUUGGACGACCUGCCCACGAGACGGGGACAACAGUUCGAAAGGACUGCUAAUACCCGAUGGUCCGUUCCGGAUACGUCCGGAUCGGUAAAGGUUUUUCGCUCGUGGAGGGGUCCAAGUCCUAUCAGCUUGUUGGUGAGGUAACGGCUCACCAAGGCGAUGACGGGUAGCCGGACUGAGAGGUUGGCCGGCCACAUGGGAACUGAGACACUGUCCUGACUCCUACGGGAGGCUGCAGUCGAGAAUCUUCUGCAAUGGGCGAAAGCCUGACAGAGCGACGCCGCGUGGAGGACGAAGGCCCUCGGGUUGUAAACUCCUGUCACGUGUUAGGAAAGCAUGGCUUCGGCCAUGCCUGACAAAAGCACGAGAGGAAGUCACGGCUAACUUCGUGCCAGCAGCCGCGGUAAGACGAAGGUGGCGAGCGUUAUUCGGAUUUACUGGGCAUAAAGCGCGCGUAGGCGGCUCGAUCAGUCGGGGGUGAAAGCCCGCAGCUCAACUGCGGAACUGCCUCCGAUACUGUCGAGC
Molecule: ribosomal RNA, 613 nt
Filed under: uncultured bacterium
Lineage: Bacteria
Description: bacterial SSU rRNA
Rfam family: Bacterial small subunit ribosomal RNA
Source: RNAcentral